This 228-nucleotide long non-coding RNA is filed under the name Elaeis guineensis (African oil palm). RNAcentral's name for it is "long non-coding RNA (EGUI_LNC035876)". Lineage: Eukaryota; Viridiplantae; Streptophyta; Magnoliopsida; Arecales; Arecaceae. The record is from RNAcentral.
UUCUCUCUUCCUCAUGCCCAAGAGUUGGGCGUCCUUGAUUUCCAUGCCCAAGGGUUGGGUGCCUUCUUCCUUCUAUGUGCCAAGCUUCGCGGUGCUGAUUUAAGAGAAAAAAUUCUCUCAUCUUUUGCAAGAUUGCUUGCUGGUUUUUUGGUAAAGAAACUAUUAGAAAAUGGGUAGACAAACAUGCAUAGAUUUCAAAACUUUUUAAAGUAGCAGCAGAAAUAGAUC